RNAcentral lists this small nucleolar RNA (119 nucleotides) under Echinops telfairi (small Madagascar hedgehog). RNAcentral's name for it is "Small nucleolar RNA SNORA61 (ENSETEG00000025187.1)". The record is from RNAcentral. Lineage: Eukaryota; Metazoa; Chordata; Mammalia; Afrosoricida; Tenrecidae.
CCCUUCAGAUUCCUUACCCAGAGAUCAGAACCAUGGUCUGAGUGGCUAUAAAAUGAAGAAAAGUAAAAUUGAAAGAGACUUGAAUUCUUUUGUGACAUCCAAGUUCAUUUCAAUUAAAA